This is a long non-coding RNA of Lolium rigidum, 700 nucleotides long. RefSeq lists it as uncharacterized. The transcript is spliced from 2 exons. The record is from RefSeq and is a predicted model, not a curated record. Lineage: Eukaryota; Viridiplantae; Streptophyta; Magnoliopsida; Poales; Poaceae.
AUAUUUUAACUUAAAAUUCGCAAUGAAAUAGACUUGCAACAUGUCUUAGACUUGCAAAAUAUAGGAAGUCUUUUAUUUGUCUGAUAGUUUGUUAAUUCCAAGCUCUGUUUUAUUGAUUCUGAACAUUUGAAUAUGUACUUCAUUCUAAGGGUACCAACAAGAUUACCAAUGUUACUCCUGAAGAAAUGACAGGCAUUAUUGAAGUUAUAGGUGAAACUGAGAAGUUCUGGUCUUAGGAGAAUAUUCUGGGGUUCAACUGGUGAUCCGAGCAGAUAGGCAUGAAUAGAAUUCUGUGUCUCCAGAGACACAUUGAGAGUGGAAGCAUACUACUUUGUAUGUAGUACAAGCAAGAUGCUACCUACAUAGGACCGACAAUCAGUGCUGAAAUGCUAGCUUUUGGAUUCAGCAGCAUUAUUGACACUGCUGUUCAGCGAAAGGCACGAAAAGAGUAAAGCGAAGAUUUCUCAGCGAUAGACGCUGGUGGUGUAGAAGUUUAUGUACUGUAGUUCCAGUUUGAUCUACAAAAUAAGUUAGUACCAGAAUAUCUAAAUGUAUGCCACGUAGUUUCCAUUUAGUAUGUCUGGAGAGUAUGUAAUUAUGCAGCUGCAAGCAGUGCUAUCAUCAAUAAUGUAGCUCCAAGUAGUGGUAUAAUGUAUAAUGCAUGUAUUGUAUGUAUGCAUAACAUUAAUCAUGUUCGCUA